GGCUGCAACCCGCCUGCAUGAAGUUGGAAUUGCUAGUAAUCGCGGAUCAGCAUGCCGCGGUGAAUACGUUCCCGGGCCUUGUACACACCGCCCGUCACACCAUGGGAGCCGGUAAUACCCGAAGUCAGUAGCCUAACCGCAAGGAGGGCGCUGCCGAAGGUAGGAUUGGCGACUGGGGUGAAGUCGUAACAAGGUAAC
Molecule: ribosomal RNA, 198 nt
Filed under: uncultured bacterium
Lineage: Bacteria
Description: partial 16S ribosomal RNA
Rfam family: Bacterial small subunit ribosomal RNA
Source: RNAcentral